This 253-nucleotide ribosomal RNA is filed under the name uncultured bacterium. RNAcentral describes it as "partial 16S ribosomal RNA". It matches the Rfam family "Bacterial small subunit ribosomal RNA", at positions 524 to 776 of the family's 1533-position model. The record is from RNAcentral.
UACAGGGGGGGCAAGCGUUGUUCGGAAUUACUGGGCGUAAAGAGCGUGUAGGCGGCCAGACAGGUCCGUUGUGAAAACUCGAGGCUCAACCUCGAGACGCCGAUGGAAACCGUUUGGCUAGAGUCCGGAAGAGGAGAGUGGAAUUCCUGGUGUAGCGGUGAAAUGCGCAGAUAUCAGGAAGAACACCCGUGGCUAAGGCGUCUCUCUAGUACGGUACUGACGCUGAGACGCGAAAGCGUGGGGAGCGAACAGG